Molecule: ribosomal RNA, 435 nt
Filed under: Triticum aestivum (bread wheat)
Lineage: Eukaryota; Viridiplantae; Streptophyta; Magnoliopsida; Poales; Poaceae
Description: partial small subunit ribosomal RNA
Source: RNAcentral
AUGGCGUACGCUAAGCUCGCAGCCCUGGCCAUGCUCGUGGUCCUACUGCAGGCGUCAACCGGCACCGCUGCCCGCUCGCCGCCGGCCGUUUCAACCUCCAAGACGGACGGCAUGCCAGCGGUGAUGACAGUCAACGGGUUCGAGCGCGGCGAGGACGGCGGCGGGCCGGCGGAGUGCGACGGCAAGUACCACAGCGACGACGACAUGCUGGUGGCGCUGUCGACGGGGUUGUACCAGGGCGGGGCCCGGUGCUUCAAGAUGAUCCGCAUCACCAGCGCGGGCACGGGGCGGAGCGCGGAGGCCAUGGUGGUGGACGAGUGCGACUCCAGGAAGGGAUGCAAGAACAACAUCGUCGACACCUCCAAGGCCGUGUGGAAGGCGCUCGGGCUCGACACCAACGUCGGCGAGGUGCCCGUCACAUGGUCCGACGUCUGA